GCAUAUCAAUAAGCGGAGGAAAAGAAACCAACCGGGAUUGCCUCAGUAACGGCGAGUGAAGCGGCAAGAGCUCAAAUUUGAAAUCUGGCCCCUUUGGGGUCCGAGUUGUAAUUUGCAGAGGAUGCUUCGGGUGCGGUCCCCGUCUAAGUGCCCUGGAACGGGCCGUCAUAGAGGGUGAGAAUCCCGUCUGGGAUGGGCGGCCGCGCCCGUGUGAAGCUCCUUCGACGAGUCGAGUUGUUUGGGAAUGCAGCUCUAAGUGGGUGGUAAAUUUCAUCUAAAGCUAAAUACUGGCCGGAGACCGAUAGCGCACAAGUAGAGUGAUCGAAAGAUGAAAAGCACUUUGAAAAGAGAGUUAAACAGCACGUGAAAUUGUUGAAAGGGAAGCGUUGUCCACCAGACUCGCCCGGGGGGGCUCAGCCGGCACUCGUGCCGGUGUACUCCUCCCCGGGCGGGCCAGCAUCGGUUUGGGCGGCUGGUGAAAGGCCCCGGGAAUGUAACACCCUCCGGGGUGCCUUAUAGCCCGGGGUGUCAUGCGGCCAGCCUGGACCGAGGCCCGCGCUUCGGCGAGGAUGCUGGCGUAAUGGUGGUCAACGGCCCGUCUUGAAACACGGACCAAGGAGUCUAACAUCUAUGCGAGUGUUCGGGUGUCAAACCCGUCCGCGCAGUGAAAGCGAACGGAGGUGGGAGCCCCUUGGGGCGCACCAUCGACCGAUCCUGAAGUCUUCGGAUGGAUUUGAGUAAGAGCAUAGCUGUUGGGACCCGAAAGAUGGUGAACUAUGCCUGAAUAGGGCGAAGCCAGAGGAAACUCUGGUGGAGGCUCGCAGCGGUUCUGACGUGCAAAUCGAUCGUCAAAUUUGGGGUAUAGGGGCGAAAGACUAAUCGAACUAUCUGGUAGCUGGUUUCCUGCCCGAAG
This 913-nucleotide ribosomal RNA is filed under the name Talaromyces cinnabarinus. RNAcentral describes it as "LSU rRNA". It matches the Rfam family "Eukaryotic large subunit ribosomal RNA", at positions 38 to 966 of the family's 3401-position model. The record is from RNAcentral. Lineage: Eukaryota; Fungi; Ascomycota; Eurotiomycetes; Eurotiales; Trichocomaceae.